Molecule: ribosomal RNA, 606 nt
Filed under: uncultured bacterium
Lineage: Bacteria
Description: bacterial SSU rRNA
Rfam family: Bacterial small subunit ribosomal RNA
Source: RNAcentral
UCGCAUAGUUAGUGGCGGUGUAACGGACACCAAGACGACGAUGCGUAGGGGUUCUGAGAGGAAGGUCCCCCACACUGGUACUGAGACACGGACCAGACUCCUACGGGAGGCAGCAGUGAGGAAUAUUGGUCAAUGGGCGGGAGCCUGAACCAGCCAAGUCGCGUGAGGGAUGACGGCCCUAUGGGUUGUAAACCUCUUUUGCCGGGGAGCAAAGUGCCGCACGUGUGCGGUUUGGAGAGUACCCGGAGAAAAAGCAUCGGCUAACUCCGUGCCAGCAGCCGCGGUAAUACGGAGGAUGCGAGCGUUAUCCGGAUUUAUUGGGUUUAAAGGGUGCGUAGGCGGACGCUUAAGUCAGCGGUAAAAUUGCGGGGCUCAACCUCGUCGAGCCGUUGAAACUGGGUGCCUUGAGUGGGCGAGAAGUACGCGGAAUGCGUGGUGUAGCGGUGAAAUGCAUAGAUAUCACGCAGAACUCCGAUUGCGAAGGCAGCGUACCGGCGCCCAACUGACGCUGAAGCACGAAGGCGUGGGUAUCGAACAGGAUUAGAUACCCUGGUAGUCCACGCAGUAAACGAUGAAUGCUAGUUGUCCGGGGCGAUUGAGUUCUGG